AUCGAGCUGCGACAUUGGUGACUGCCAAUAGUGUUUUUAGAUCUACAAUCAUCCUGUAUAUGGGAACCACAAAUGCUCAAGGUGGCAGUAAACCGGGCAAGUACCCGGAAACUUAAAGCUAGAGCCAAGGUACCCACUUGAAUAUAUGCAGGUCAAAAACUGAGGUAAAACGGUGUUGCGGUCAGUCU
This 188-nucleotide non-coding RNA is filed under the name Zarconia navalis LEGE 11467. RNAcentral describes it as "6S / SsrS RNA". It matches the Rfam family "6S / SsrS RNA". Rfam says of the family: E. coli 6S RNA was the first non coding RNA to be sequenced, but its function was unknown until recently. It consists of 184 nucleotides that fold into an extended hairpin structure with a large single-stranded internal bulge. The record is from Rfam by way of RNAcentral. Lineage: Bacteria; Bacillati; Cyanobacteriota; Cyanophyceae; Oscillatoriales.